AACCCAUGGUUUGGGCAUUUUCUCAACAUCAUUUUAAAUCUCUCCCAUGUAUCACAAAAGGCUUCAUCUGCUCCUUGUCUGAACAUAGAAAUAUCAGACUUUGCCU
Molecule: small nucleolar RNA, 106 nt
Filed under: Phaseolus vulgaris (common bean)
Lineage: Eukaryota; Viridiplantae; Streptophyta; Magnoliopsida; Fabales; Fabaceae
Description: Plant small nucleolar RNA R71
Rfam family: Plant small nucleolar RNA R71
About the family: R71 is a member of the C/D box family of snoRNAs containing the C (UGAUGA) and D (CUGA) box motifs.
Source: Rfam by way of RNAcentral